UGAGCCGGGAAUGGAAAGACCGGUACAAGCGAGGUAGGAGAAGAGUUGGCAAAUCCGCUCUUUAAUCUGAAGACGUGAUGUGGACUGAAAAUAAGUAGGGAAGCACGUGAGCUGACUGUCAAGAAAAGCCGCUAUUGUUUGCAGGAUACCCGUACCGUAAACCGACACAGGUGGAUGAGGAGAGAAUCCUAAGGCCGACGGGAGAAGCAUUGUUAAGGAACUCGGCAAAAUGACUCCGUAACUUCGGGAGAAGGAGUGCCAGUAAGAUGGCCGCAGAGAAUUGGCCCAAGCAACUGUUUAGCAAAAACACAGGUCUAUGCAAAACCGAAAGGUGAGGUAUAUGGGCUGACGCCUGCCCGGUGCUGGAAGGUUAAGGGGAGAGGUUAGCGCAAGCGAAGCUUUGAACUUAAGCCCCAGUAAACGGCGGCCGUAACAAUAACGGUCCUAAGGUAGCGAAAUUCCUUGUCGGGUAAGUUCCGACCCGCACGAAAGGCGUAAUGAUUUGGGCACUGUCUCAACAAUGCACCCGGUGAAAUUGAAAUACCAGUGAAGAUGCUGGUUACCUGCGCCAGGACGGAAAGACCCCAUGGAGCUUUACUCCAGCUUGAUACUGGGAUUCGGUAUUGCAUGUACAGGAUAGGUGGGAGGCUAGGAAAUGGUAACGCCAGUUGCCAUGGAGCCAAUGUUGGGAUACCACCCUUGCAGUACUGGGUUUCUAACCAGCAGCCGUGAUCCGGCUGGGAGACAAUGUCAGGUGGGGAGUUUGACUGGGGCGGUCGCCUCCGAAAGGGUAUCGGAGGCGCUCAAAGGUUCCCUCAGAAUGGUUGGAAACCAUUCGAAGAGUGCAAAGGCAGAAGGGAGCUUGACUGCGACACCGACGGGUGGAGCAGGUACGAAAGUAGGACUUAGUGAUCCGGUGGUAUAAAGUGGGAUUGCCAUCGCUCAACGGAUAAAAGCUACCCUGGGAUAACAGGCUUAUCACUCCCAAGAGUUCACAUCGACGGAGUGGUUUGGCACCUCGAUGUCGGCUCAUCGCAUCCUGGGGCUGAAGUAGGUCCCAAGGGUUGGGCUGUUCGCCCAUUAAAGCGGUACGCGAGCUGGGUUCAGAACGUCGUGAGACAGUUCGGUCCCUAUCCGGCGUGGGCGUAAGAUAUUUGAGAGGAGCUGUCCUUAGUACGAGAGGAUCGGGAUGGACUGGCCGCUGGUGUAUCUGUUGUCUUACCAAAGGCAUAGCAGAGUAGCCAAGCCGGGAAGGGAUAAACGCUGAAGGCAUCUAAGCGUGAAGCCCCCCUCAAGAUGAGAUAUCUCAUAACGUCAAGUUAGUAAGACCCCUUGAAGACGACGAGGUAGAUAGGGCAGAGGUGGAAGUGUGGUAACACAUGGAGCUGACUGUUACUAAUAGGUCGAGGGCAUAACUA
RNAcentral lists this ribosomal RNA (1418 nucleotides) under metagenome. RNAcentral describes it as "bacterial LSU rRNA". It matches the Rfam family "Bacterial large subunit ribosomal RNA", at positions 1487 to 2925 of the family's 2925-position model. The record is from RNAcentral.